AUCACCUCAAAUCAGGUAGGACUACCCGCUGAACUUAAGCAUAUCAAUAAGCGGAGGAAAAGAAACUAACAAGGAUUCCCCUAGUAACUGCGAGUGAAGCGGGAAAAGCUCAAAUUUAAAAUCUGGCGUUCUCUCGGACGUCCGAGUUGUAAUCUAGAGAAGCGUCUUCCGCGCCGGACCGUGUACAAGUCUCUUGGAAUGGAGCGUCGUAGAGGGUGACAAUCCCGUCUUUGACACGGAUCGCCGGUGCUUUUGUGAUGCGCUCUCGAAGAGUCGAGUUGUUUGGGAAUGCAGCUCAAAACGGGUGGUAAAUUCCAUCUAAAGCUAAAUACAGGCGAGAGACCGAUAGCGAACAAGUACCGUGAGGGAAAGAUGAAAAGAACUUUGAAAAGAGAGUUAAACAGUACGUGAAAUUGUUGAAAGGGAAACGAUUCAAGUCAGUCGCGUCGCCCGGUAAUCAACCCUUUGCUAAAAGAGGGCUCACUUUCUGGGUCGACGGGUCAGCGUCAGUUUUGACCGUCAGAUAAAGGCGCGAGGAAUGUGGCAUCUUCGGAUGUGUUAUAGCCUCCCGUCGCAUGUGAUGGUUGGGAUUGAGGAUCUCGACACGCCGCAAGGUCGGGGCUUUCGCGCCCACGUAACGUGUCUCGGAUGC
RNAcentral lists this ribosomal RNA (652 nucleotides) under uncultured fungus. RNAcentral's name for it is "eukaryotic LSU rRNA". It matches the Rfam family "Eukaryotic large subunit ribosomal RNA", at positions 1 to 626 of the family's 3401-position model. The record is from RNAcentral. Lineage: Eukaryota; Fungi.